AAGGUCCGGAGCCGAAGGGAAACCAAGUCUGAAUAGGGCGCAUAGUCAGUCGGAGUAGACCCGAAACCGGGUGAUCUAUCCAUGUCCAGGUUGAAGUUGCCGUAAAAGGCAAUGGAGGACCGAACCCACAUCCGUUGAAAAGGGUGGGGAUGAGGUGUGGAUAGGGGAGAAAUUCCAAUCGAACCCGGAGAUAGCUGGUUCUCCUCGAAAUAGCUUUAGGGCUAGCCUCAUACGAGUCUUGCGGAGGUAGAGCACUGAAUUCCUAAGGGGGCGUCAAAGCUUACUAAGGGAUAUCAAACUCCGAAUGCCGUGUAGAUGAUGUAUGGGAGUCAGACGAUCCGAGAUAAGUUGGGUGGUCAAAAGGGAAAGAGCCCAGACCAACAGCUAAGGCCCCAAAAUGUGUGUUAAGUGGAAAAGGAUGUGGGAUUUCGAAGACAACUAGGAUGUUGGCUCAGAAGCAGCCAUUCAUUCAAAGAGUGCGUAAUAGCUCACUAGUCGAGAGGUCCUGCGCCGAAAAUGUCCGGGGCUAAAACACACUGCCGAAGCUUUGGAAUUGAGAAUUCAAUUGGUAGAGGAGCAUUCUUAAAGGGACGAAGCAGUACCGUAAGGAGCUGUGGACUUUUAAGAAGAGAGAAUGCCGGAAUGAGUAGCGAGAGGAAGGUGGGAAUCCUUCCGGCCGAAUAUCUAAGGUUUCCAGAGUAAAGCUGAUCUGCUCUGGGUAAGUCGGGGCCUAAGGCGAGGUCGAAAGACGUAGUCGAUGGAUAACAGGUUGAAAUUCCUGUACUAUCCUGUAACAGAACUGUGGGGACACAGGCAGAGAGCGUGAGCCGGGAAUGGAAAGACCGGUACAAGCGAGGUAGGAGAAGAGUUGGCAAAUCCGCUCUUUAAUCUGAAGACGUGAUGUGGACUGAAAAUAAGUAGGGAAGCACGUGAGCUGACUGUCAAGAAAAGCCGCUAUUGUUUGCAGGAUACCCGUACCGUAAACCGACACAGGUGGAUGAGGAGAGAAUCCUAAGGCCGACGGGAGAAGCAUUGUUAAGGAACUCGGCAAAAUGACUCCGUAACUUCGGGAGAAGGAGUGCCAGUAAGAUGGCCGCAGAGAAUUGGCCCAAGCAACUGUUUAGCAAAAACACAGGUCUAUGCAAAACCGAAAGGUGAGGUAUAUGCUGACGCCUGCCCGGUGCUGGAAGGUUAAGGGGAGAGGUUAGCGCAAGCGAAGCUUUGAACUUAAGCCCCAGUAAACGGCGGCCGUAACUAUAACGGUCCUAAGGUAGCGAAAUUCCUUGUCGGGUAAGUUCCGACCCGCACGAAAGGCGUAAUGAUUUGGGCACUGUCUCAACAAUGCACCCGGUGAAAUUGAAAUACCAGUGAAGAUGCUGGUUACCUGCGCCAGGACGGAAAGACCCCAUGGAGCUUUACUCCAGCUUGAUACUGGGAUUCGGUAUUGCAUGUACAGGAUAGGUGGGAGGCUAAGAAGUGGUAACGCCAGUUGCCAUGGAGCC
RNAcentral lists this ribosomal RNA (1502 nucleotides) under Ruminococcus sp. AM49-8. RNAcentral describes it as "bacterial LSU rRNA". It matches the Rfam family "Bacterial large subunit ribosomal RNA", at positions 655 to 2187 of the family's 2925-position model. Lineage: Bacteria; Bacillati; Bacillota; Clostridia; Eubacteriales; Oscillospiraceae. The record is from RNAcentral.